AGUUAUUGUCAAGGAAAAGAAAAUACUAUUUGUUUCCUUGUACUUUCUGAUAUGGGGUGAAGCAGCCAAUGUCAGAUUCAUUCCAGAAUGCUUGUGCUACAUAUUUCAUCAUAUGGCAAGAGAAUUAGAUGAAAUUUUAAGGCAGCAGGUUCCACAGCCAGCCAAUAGUUGCAAGUCUGGGGAUAAUGUUUCAUUCCUUGAUCAAGUUAUAUUUCCUCUCUAUGAUGUUUUGGAAGCGGAAACAAGAAGUAAUAAAAACAGAAAAGCACCACACUCUGUCUGGCGCAAUUAUGAUGAUUUUAAUGAG
Long non-coding RNA from Humulus lupulus (European hop), 307 nucleotides. RefSeq lists it as uncharacterized. The record is from RefSeq and is a predicted model, not a curated record. The transcript has 3 exons. Lineage: Eukaryota; Viridiplantae; Streptophyta; Magnoliopsida; Rosales; Cannabaceae.